Aethalodelphis obliquidens (Pacific white-sided dolphin) is the source of this 1500-nucleotide long non-coding RNA. RefSeq lists it as uncharacterized. NCBI's taxonomy places the organism in Eukaryota, Metazoa, Chordata, Mammalia, Artiodactyla, Delphinidae. The transcript is spliced from 3 exons. The record is from RefSeq and is a predicted model, not a curated record.
AGAACCCACGGCAAACACGAGAGGCCCCGAAGGAAUGUGUGAUGGAUCUUCCUGAAACGUUAUUGCCUGGAUCCAGUGAGAUCUUCGCCUCUGGGAAGCAGCGGGAAAAGGUUUGUGUCAGCUGCCAUGCGAGCGGAUGAGAACAGGAUGUGAACCACAAUCGACAUGGCUUGGAAAGCAGCUGGUCCUGAGCCCUAAAGGAAUUCUAAUGCACUUGGAAAUGAUACAGUGAAGAGCCUGCACGGGUGUCCUUCUUUGAGUGCCAUGCAUUAUUAUGAGUGGCACAGACUGAAGAAAACAGCAUUGGACUCGCCAGGAACGAAAACAGGGAUUGCAGAACCCCCCGUUUGUAGAAGUGAAUUGGAGCAGGUAACCAAGGGUUUCUGAGCCUCAGUUUUGCUCUCUGUAAAUGGAGAUGAUAAUCCUCCUCGUAGAGCCCUUCUGGAUACUCUCAAGGGAUCAACAGGUAAAAGGUAUAAUCCUUGUUACAGAAAGUCAUCUGAGGGAGACUCUUUGCUCUACUGGGGGGCUAGAGUCUCAUGACUUUAUUCCCUGAAUCAAACACUCUAACUUUAGGAAGUAAGGGCAAGCCUUUGGGAUCAGAAUGUAUCCCAUUAUAAAUACAUAAAACUUAUCUUUACAAUGAGAGUUUAUAUUUUUUUUCAGUGACUGUCCAUUCAGUCAUUUUAAAAAGUGCUCACAAUUUAUUUUCACAUACUUGGGGUAAUUACAGAACUCUGGCAUGUACUGAUAUGGUUAAAACCAUAUUAAAUUUUUAUUAAAAAUCAAUAUAAGCUUCAAUAUAAAAAUAUAGUAAUAAAAGCAACUUUUUCUGCUCUAAGAAAGAUUUUAGGCAUCAUAUUCUUUUAUUUAGCAACCCCAUUGCUGUCAACUUGCCAUAAAAUUACAUAAAACAGAACAUUUUGGGGUGCAAGGGGGCUCCUGAAGACCUCAAUUACAUGUAACAGAAAUCCACAAUGCAUGUGAGGUUGGAACAUCUUUUCAAAUAUGAUUGCCUUUAGGGAGGACAUUUAAAAUUUGUACAACUGAUUAUGCUAUUAUCAAAGCCAAAAGGAAGAGGUCUAAUAAUUUAUUAGAAUGUAAACUUUAUGAGGGGAGGUAUUUUUAUCUCCUGUUUUCACUGCUCUAUUUCCAGUGCUUAGAAUAAAACUUGGUACACAGUACAUCCCAUGUAUGAAAAAAAUGUGUAAAGCUGACUCACUUGUAAAGACCUUAAACUGGUAUCAAAUACGUCUAUAACACAUACUUCUAAAAAUUUAAGGUUGGCUUAGGAAUGCAUAUUGGCAUAUUUCUUUCCUUUUAUGUGUCAAUUUGUAUUACAUAAAUAUAAUUGUGUGCAUCCCAAGAAAAUCAAAUUAAUAAAAAGCAGAUGACCAUUAACAUGGUAAAGAUUUAAUUUCAGAAUUCUAGUAUGAAAGAUUAUUUUUUCAGGUAGGGGGCUCUCAAAUAUUUUUGGAGUGUAACUACCACGUGUUUUAU